AUUUGUUAUGUUGUGUUCGAUACUGAGAGUCACACUUGGACACAUUGGCAAACCAGAACGCCUCCGCAGGAAGGAGAAGGAAGAUUAAAAAAGAGGAAGAGAAAGAAAAGAAAACUACACUAGGUUCUCAUCUUAACCUGGGAGUCACCUCUGUCUUCCUGGCAUCCGCACAAUCAGUAGGACCCAGCAAUCUCCCGCAGGACAUUUUCUAAAGUGCCCAGAGAGAAGGUCCUCCUAGAAAGCAGAAGGCUUUCCCCCACCUUCCACCAUGCCCACUGUCACGAGGAUUUGCUGGGAGCCAUUCACUUCUGUGUGGCUGUAACCUCUGGCUUUCCCAAUCAAGCAGCUAUGGUGCUCUCCUUGCCCAAAUCCAUGAAUCUGCACUCAAGUCUGGGAAGUAACUUUGGCCACAAAAGGAAUUCCAUCUUAUAGAUAGAAGAGGAGAGGUGAUGUGAGCUCCUAUAUAUUAACAUCUCUAUCUGUUCAAGAGCUUCUCCAACUACUUUUUUCUGUUAAGUAAACCUGUCUGUGAGUAAAAUAAACAAGGAGUUGAUUCAAAUUCUGCUGUGUGAGGAGAGAAUCUUCCAGUUUUUGAGGACAAGAGAAACUAAAUUUUAUGGUGAUUUACCCGUAGCAAUUGAAGAUCACCAAGAGAGAAGACUUUUAUUUUUCUGUUUUUGGUGUGUUUUAACUUGUUUUCAUUUAUACUGUUUUGAAGAUGGAUUGGGAGGAGGAGAGUGAAGAAUGAAAAGCUCUAUGUUAGAGGAAUCUAUAUGUGCAGUUUCCUUAUUAACUGUAUGUGUCAUCCUCAGAGAUGCUGCAUGACCUGGUGAAAGAACACGGGCUUUGGAGAUAGAUACUCAUAUAUUUGUACUUAUGCUUGAAUCCCAUCUCGGUUACUUUCUACCUGAGUAUAAUUUAUAGCAUGACAGUUAUUAUCAGGAGCACAAAGGAAGCACUGUUUUCUGUAAAUGAAGAUAAGAACUGUUUUGCAAUAUUAUUGUGAGAACUAAUGAAAUAAUUUUGUAAAAUGCUUAAGAUAGUACCUGUCAUAUAUUUAAUAUUUAUUUAUUAUAUUAAAUUUAUUAUUAAAUAAUAAUAAUAUUUAAUCAUGGCAGUCUGCAAUCAUGACAAAUUCUGAUAAUAAUAGCAUUUAGGAUGGGCAUGGUGGUUUAUGCCUGUAAUCCCAACACCUUGGGAGGCCAAGGAGGGAGGACUGCUUGAGGCUAGGAGUUCAAGACCAGCCUGGGCAACAUAGCAGGGCCCUGUUCCUACAAACAAACAAACAAACGAAUAAUCAAAAAACGUAGCCGGAUGUGCUGGCGUGUGCCUGUAGUCCUAGGCUGAGGCAGGAGGAUCAUUUGAGUCCAGGAGUUCGAGGCUGCAGUGAGCUACGAUCACACCACUGUACUCCAGCCUGGGUGACAGAGUGAGACUCUGUCUCUAAAAGAGAAAGAAAAAGAGAAAGACUAAUAGUUUUUGUUUGUUUGUUUGUUUGUUUGUUUUAACUGGAGUUGGAGGGCUUCUGCCAAAAUUUUCUGUUUCUAACUUUUUUUGGUUUUUUGUUUGUUUUUAUAAAAUAUAUUUUAUUUUUAAAAUAGACAAAGUCUUGUUCUGUUGCCCAUGCUGGCUUGAAAUUCCUGGGUGGGCGUGAUCCCCCUAACUUGGCCUCCCAGAGUACUGGGAUUACAGGUGUGAGCAACUGCACGUGGCCUGUUUCUGACAUUUUUAAAGUUAGUCUUAAUACUGUUUUAUGCUGGUUUUACUUUAAAUAUAUAUAUAUAGAAUAAAAGCAAUUACUUAACAAAUGUCAGUGACAUGCAAAUAUAUAAUUAAUAAAACUUCUUAUAUCUCAGUGGUUGAUGUCAAUAACCAAAUAACCAAGAAUUUGAAUAAUCUCUUCUAGGUAACUGGAAGUGACCUUCACUUACCUGUAAUUUACACAUUCUCACCAGCUCCUCUCCUACUCCCUUCAUCAUGACCACCAAGGAGAGCUAGAGGACCUUAGAGAGGAGGCUCAGAAUAGUACUGCUUUGAUUUUGGCAACAUGCAUAUUGUUUCUUCAGCUAACUCAGCAUGCUUGAGAUCAUUUUAACAGCAUAGUGUUCUCAUGUGGUUUCAGUAGAAAAAGUCCCUAUGUAAAAAUAGCACCUUCUUCCUCAGCAUGUCUGCUCCCUUUAAUGAAAAUAAGGCUUUAGCUUAGACUGAGCCAAUGCAGCUAUCAAGGCGUGAGCUAAAAUCUCAUCUGCUUCAAAUGCUGUUAGCCAAAUUCACUAACAAUGGUGCUUACAGUCAUUGCCAAUAAGAAAGACAAUGUAGUCAGAGUCAUGAACAAUACAGGAUAAUUCAUA
RNAcentral lists this long non-coding RNA (2351 nucleotides) under Homo sapiens (human). Its description in RNAcentral is "HSALNT0077678". The record is from RNAcentral. Lineage: Eukaryota; Metazoa; Chordata; Mammalia; Primates; Hominidae.